Cyanistes caeruleus (blue tit) is the source of this 816-nucleotide non-coding RNA. Lineage: Eukaryota; Metazoa; Chordata; Aves; Passeriformes; Paridae. The record is from RefSeq and is a predicted model, not a curated record.
UUUUUUUAAUUUGCCUUAUGUUUUCUGCCAGAAUUUUUUUUUCCUUCAUCAGUGCUGCUUAUGCUGGUGUUUCACACAGUGACUGCAAGCAAUUUUUCCCACAUCACUCCCCCUACAGUCAGCUGUUGCCCUGCCUGUUCAGGAGGACUUGCAAGAGACUAAGCUUGCUACUUCUGCCAUGGCAUAGGACAACCAGAAGAAAAACUUGCUGGAAUGUACAGGCUGUCUAGAAGAAAAAUGGCUUUUUUCUUACCUGAGAGAAGAGCUGAGGAAGCACAAGAGAAGCUUGGUAAUUUGCAUUAAUUACUUAAUGGAAAGAAGGAUAUUUUGAAGCCAUUCUGUAAAACAACCAUCAACAAGAAUUUUGACAGGUUGCUCAACAGUAUUUUUCCUGGAAAGAGAAUGUUUGCUGGGAGCCAGACCUCCUCAUGUCCAUCUCCUUCCAAGAAUAUCAUGUUCUGGAUCAAACGUGACUCUGAUGAUGUGACAGAUACCUCUGUCAUGGUUUCUUAUACAUUUACACCCCUCACCAGGUGGCAUAUUCUGUUGAACGAAUGCUGAAAUGGUACCUUUUCUAUCAGCACACUUCUGCUUGAGAAUGUACUUCCGCUUUGAGCAUUACAACAGUUCAUGAAGGAAGGACUGGAUUAACUUUAUCAUAUCCACAAUGAGGAAAGAAAAUACAUGCAUGCUGAAUACUUUAGUUAUAGUUGUGCAUAAUAAAUUGUUUUUUGUUUCAUGAGUUAUCCCAAAAUAUAAGUUAUAGUACAGAUAACAAAUAAAAGCUUAAAUUGUCUAAAGGUAAUAACUUAGGUA